This 22-nucleotide microRNA is filed under the name Drosophila ananassae. RNAcentral describes it as "dan-miR-306". Its record names the gene dan-miR-306. The record is from miRBase by way of RNAcentral. RNAcentral also lists the same sequence under 12 other names. Lineage: Eukaryota; Metazoa; Arthropoda; Insecta; Diptera; Drosophilidae.
UCAGGUACUUAGUGACUCUCAA